Molecule: long non-coding RNA, 477 nt
Organism: Drosophila busckii
Lineage: Eukaryota; Metazoa; Arthropoda; Insecta; Diptera; Drosophilidae
Exons: 3
Source: RefSeq, a predicted model, not a curated record
UAAUUGGUAAAUCUCUUUGGGCCAUUUUGGCUUUAGGUUUUGGCGCAUCAUUAUUGAUUGAUAGGCUUAUGUUGUUUGCUGGAAUCAUAUACCCUCGCUGCUUUUGUAUGGUUCUCAUAUCAUUUAUAGUCGGCUUGUUUGUCAUUUGUCUUGGAAUAGGCAUACUGAUUUGGUUCAUAUUGAUAGAAGCUAAUCCCGUUCAUUUAGCUUUGGGAUCUGGUUUUAUCUUGAUGGAGCUCUAUUUGGCCUGGAUCAAAAUUUCGUAUUGGAAGGCCUAAAUCCCAAACUGGAGAGAAGUAAAAUAGUUUUAUUAUUGCAUAAUAAGUUUGAAUUUCAUACUUAUAAUGGGAAUAACAAAAUUAUUAUACAUUCAAAGACUUAUGAUUUUGGUUCAGCAACAGCAUUGGAAUCAGUGUUUCUCAGCAGUUUGGAAAGCAUGCAUACAAUCAGCAAAAUAUAUAAAAAUUGUAAAUAAUU